CGAAAGCCUGACGGAGCAAUACCGCGUGAGGGAGGAAGGUUUUUGGAUUGUAAACCUCUUUUUUAAAGGAAGAAGAAAGUGACGGUACUUUAAGAAUAAGCAUCGGCUAACUCCGUGCCAGCAGCCGCGGUAAUACGGAGGAAGCAAGCGUUAUCCGGAAUCAUUGGGCGUAAAGCGUCCGCAGGUGGCUAAUCAAGUCUGCUGUUAAUGACAGAAGCUCAACUUCUGAUAGGCAGUGGAAACUGGUUAACUAGAGUAUGGUAGGGGUUGAGGGAAUUCCCAGUGUAGCGGUGAAAUGCGUAGAUAUUGGGAAGAACACCGGUGGCGAAAGCGCUCUACUGGACUUAUACUGACACUGAGGGACGAAAGCUAAGGGGAGCG
RNAcentral lists this ribosomal RNA (381 nucleotides) under uncultured cyanobacterium. Its description in RNAcentral is "bacterial SSU rRNA". It matches the Rfam family "Bacterial small subunit ribosomal RNA", at positions 376 to 770 of the family's 1533-position model. The record is from RNAcentral. Lineage: Bacteria; Bacillati; Cyanobacteriota.